UCACGGGGGAAGCGGAUUGCGUUGGAUUGAUGGGCGCUUGUGUGUUCAGCCUUCGGGUGCAUUGGCACAAGUGCUUAUCCGCUGUGAGUUUUCGGGGGUCGAUUUUGGACCCCUGGGGACUGAGGGCUCCCUUUUUUAGGUGAGGACAGCGGAGUGACGACGCGAUACGACCCGUCUUGAAACACGGACCAAGGAGUCUAGCGCGGGUGCGAGUCGGAGGGUGCAAGCCCGUGGGCGAAGUGAAAGCGAGUUUUAAAAACUAGCAGUUUGGGGCGGCAUAAGAUCGUUGAUCUUAAGACUGACCCGGAGCAGUUGCGCUGGGACCCGAAAGAUGGUGAACUAUGCCGGAGUAGGGCAAAGCCAGAGGAAACUCUGGUGGAGGCUCGUAGCGGUGCUGACGUGCAAAUCGCUCGUCGAACUUGGGUAUAGGGGCGAAAGACUAAUCGAACCAUCUAGUAGCUGGUUCCCUCCGAAGUUUCUCUCAGGAUAGCGGGCCGACAAGUUGUUUUGUGCGGUAAAGCGAAUGAUUAGCGCAUUCGGGGGCGUUUAGCCUUUGGGCGAUUCUCAAACUUUCAAUGCGCAAGGGUGCCGCUGCUUAAUUGAGCGGUACCGGUAAAAACGUCGGCCCUGUGGGCCACUUUUGGUAAGCA
This 650-nucleotide ribosomal RNA is filed under the name Chondracanthus acicularis. RNAcentral describes it as "eukaryotic LSU rRNA". It matches the Rfam family "Eukaryotic large subunit ribosomal RNA", at positions 408 to 1146 of the family's 3401-position model. The record is from RNAcentral. Lineage: Eukaryota; Rhodophyta; Florideophyceae; Gigartinales; Gigartinaceae.